Molecule: long non-coding RNA, 489 nt
Organism: Oxyura jamaicensis (ruddy duck)
Lineage: Eukaryota; Metazoa; Chordata; Aves; Anseriformes; Anatidae
Exons: 3
Source: RefSeq, a predicted model, not a curated record
UAUUAUGCACCUACUUUGCUCGUGUUAGUUCACAUUAGUGGGUGCUAUUUCCUCUGUCUGAAGCUCGAAUUCGUUAUUUAUGAUUCGAAUUGGUUAAGAAGCAAGUUUUUUUAAAAAAUAAACUUCUGUAUAAGCAUGCAGUCCCCCCUCCCCCCAAGUGUUUCUGUUAGCUGGGUUUGAGUCCCGCGUCCCCCGGCUCGGAGAACUGAAGCGGCAUUGAGGAGUAUUCCGAUCCAGACAGGUAUCACUUUCUAUUUUUAAGCAAGCCAGAAUGAGGAAAUGUUAAUGACCACUGCCAUCUCAAAUCCCCGGGUCUGAAUACUUCGUCUGUCACGACUGUCACUGGGAAUCCACAGGAGGUGAGCUGAAUAAGAUUAGACUAUUUACCCCAUCAGCCCUCCAUCAAAGAAGGUAGGAAAUUGUACGCAUGAAAUGAAAACAACCCAUUAAGGUCCGUUUACGAGGAACACAUUAUUUUGCCUCAACAAA